UUAACAAAAACAUGUCCUUUUGUCUAAUAAUUUAAGGUCUAAUCUGCCCAAUGAUUUGAAUUAAAUGGCCGCGAUAUCUUGAUCGUGCGAAGGUAGCAUAAUCAUUAGUUUCUUAAUUAGAAGCUUGAAUGAAAGAUUGGAUGAGAUAAAUACUGUCUCGGAGUAAAAGGUUGAAUUUUAUUUUUAAGUAAAAAAGCUUAGAUUUUUUUAAAAGACGAGAAGACCCUAUAGAGUUUAAUAAUUAAAUUUAAUUGAUGUAUAAGGGAUUUAAUGGUUUAAUUUUUUUUAAUUAUUUGGUUGGGGUGACAGGAAAAUUUUAUUAACUUUUUUUUAGUUGGAUAUUAAUAAAUAGGUUUUUGAUUUGUUUAACAGUUAAAAGAUUAAAUUACCUUAGGGAUAACAGCGUUAUUUUUCUUGAGAGUUCAAAUCGAAAGAAGAGUUUGCGACCUCGAUGUUGGAUUAAAAUAUAUUCUUGGUGUAGAAGCUGAGUUAGUUAGUCUGUUCGACUAUUAAAAUUUUACAUGAUCUGAGUUUAAACCGGCGUGAGCCAGGUUGGUUUCUAUCUUUAAUUUUAUAAUAUAUUUUAGUACGAAAGGACCAAAUAUGUGUUAAAUUAAUUUUUUAUCGAAUUUUAUU
Molecule: ribosomal RNA, 636 nt
Filed under: Agrilus sp. UPOL A00666
Lineage: Eukaryota; Metazoa; Arthropoda; Insecta; Coleoptera; Buprestidae
Also listed under: 1 other name
Description: partial 16S ribosomal RNA
Rfam family: Bacterial large subunit ribosomal RNA
Source: RNAcentral